UACGUAGGCAGCAAGCGUUGUUCGGAGUUACUGGGCGUAAAGAGUGCGUAGGUGGUGCCCUAAGUCUGUUGUGAAAUCUCCCGUCUUAACUGGGAGGGUGCGGUGGAAACUGGGGUGCUUGAGUGUGGGAGAGGUAAGCGGAAUUCCUGGUGUAGCGGUGAAAUGCGUAGAUAUCAGGAGGAACACCGGUGGUGUAGACGGCUUACUGGACCACGACUGACACUGAGGCACGAAAGCGUGGGUAGCAAACAGG
This 253-nucleotide ribosomal RNA is filed under the name uncultured bacterium. RNAcentral describes it as "partial 16S ribosomal RNA". It matches the Rfam family "Bacterial small subunit ribosomal RNA", at positions 524 to 776 of the family's 1533-position model. The record is from RNAcentral.